This 207-nucleotide ribosomal RNA is filed under the name uncultured bacterium. Its description in RNAcentral is "partial 16S ribosomal RNA". It matches the Rfam family "Bacterial small subunit ribosomal RNA", at positions 1294 to 1500 of the family's 1533-position model. The record is from RNAcentral.
CGGAUUGUAGGCUGCAACUCGCCUACAUGAAGUUGGAAUCGCUAGUAAUCGCGAAUCAGAAUGUCGCGGUGAAUACGUUCCCGGGUCUUGUACACACCGCCCGUCACACCACGAGAGUUUACAACACCCGAAGUCAGUGGCCUAACCGCAAGGAGGGAGCUGCCUAAGGUGGGGUAGAUGAUUGGGGUGAAGUCGUAACAAGGUAGC